RNAcentral lists this ribosomal RNA (252 nucleotides) under Escherichia coli. RNAcentral's name for it is "partial 16S ribosomal RNA". It matches the Rfam family "Bacterial small subunit ribosomal RNA", at positions 1271 to 1522 of the family's 1533-position model. Lineage: Bacteria; Pseudomonadati; Pseudomonadota; Gammaproteobacteria; Enterobacterales; Enterobacteriaceae. The record is from RNAcentral.
ACCUCAUAAAGUGCGUCGUAGUCCGGAUUGGAGUCUGCAACUCGACUCCAUGAAGUCGGAAUCGCUAGUAAUCGUGGAUCAGAAUGCCACGGUGAAUACGUUCCCGGGCCUUGUACACACCGCCCGUCACACCAUGGGAGUGGGUUGCAAAAGAAGUAGGUAGCUUAACCUUCGGGAGGGCGCUUACCACUUUGUGAUUCAUGACUGGGGUGAAGUCGUAACAAGGUAACCGUAGGGGAACCUGCGGUUGGA